AGGUUCGUGAGCUGCGUGGACUUGUGCCUAGGCUCCUGUGAUUCCGAUCCUUGUGCUGGCACCGGGGUCGCCGGGUUGGCGACUUUAGCACUUUUGGCGUUGGAUGGGCGGCAUUUUGGAGGUCACAUGAGCCAGUGGCAUCAUGCCCACGGGCGCUGGGGUCAGGGUCGCGCGGCUUUUCCGGACGUUUGUCGGCCAAGAGGAAGGGCGGAAAGCACAUCGCAGAAAGGUGGAAAGACUAUCUCCCAGUUGGACAGCGGAUGCCUGGGACUCGUUUCAUUGCUUUCAAAGUUCCUUUAAAAAAGAAUUUUGAAAAGAAUCUUGCCCCAGAAGAAUGUUUUUCCCCCUUGGAUCUUUUUUAACAAAAUCCAAGAACAGAAUGAAGAACUUGGGCUGAUUAUUGACUUAACAUAUACUUGCUGCUAUUAUAAGCCAGAGGUAAAGGGAACCCAUAAUUGAAAAUGACCUUCUUUCUGAUACUGUAAUACUUCAUAAUAAUUCAGUACUUAUCAUCUUAUGCUAAGGUGAAAACUGGCCUUCUUUCAUGGGUUCAAAAAGGGAAGCUAGUGGUUUCCUUAAAUACACAUUUCUAAUUGCUGUUUCAAAAUGAGAUUAAAGAUAUGAAUUGAACUAUAGUAUUUGGCAGUAGGCUCUAGAUAUGCUUAAGAAAUUCUAUAAGCUUCCAUGUUCUAUAUUUUGAAAAUGAAGUAAACUUUUAGUAAGAAUAGUAGUAGCCUAAAAGGAAAGAAAGGUAUGUCCAUUAUGUCUUUAGCAGUUAUUUUAAGCAGUUGCCCGAGCAUGUUUAAGCAUCACGGUAAAAGACAGUUGUUCUCUAAGUUUUAUGCUUUCUUUUCCUAAUACCUUCUGAUAUAUUACAGAACCCCGUAUA
Molecule: non-coding RNA, 889 nt
Organism: Kogia breviceps (pygmy sperm whale)
Lineage: Eukaryota; Metazoa; Chordata; Mammalia; Artiodactyla; Physeteridae
Source: RefSeq, a predicted model, not a curated record